RNAcentral lists this ribosomal RNA (75 nucleotides) under Halosimplex carlsbadense 2-9-1. Its description in RNAcentral is "partial 23S ribosomal RNA". It matches the Rfam family "Archaeal large subunit ribosomal RNA", at positions 2891 to 2967 of the family's 2987-position model. The record is from RNAcentral. Lineage: Archaea; Methanobacteriati; Methanobacteriota; Halobacteria; Halobacteriales; Haloarculaceae.
ACUCGUAGAAGACGAGUUCGAUAGACUCGGGGUGUACGCACCGAGGCAACGAGGUGUUCAGCCCGCGAGUACUAA